CAAUAGCGUAUAUUUAAGUUGCUGCGGUUAAAAAGCUCGUAGUUGGAUUUCGGGUGGGAAUGGCCGGUCCGCCGUUUCGGUGUGCACUUGCUACGCCCACCUUGCUGCCGGGGACGUGCUCUUGAGUUCACGCUCGGGACACGGAGUCGGCGAGGUUACUUUGAGUAAAUUAGAGUGUUCAAAGCAGGCCUACGCUCUGAAUACAUUAGCAUGGAAUAACACGAUAGGACUCUGGCCUAUCUUGUUGGUCUGUAGGACCGGAGUAAUGAUUAAGAGGGACAGUCGGGGGCAUUCGUAUUUCAUUGUCAGAGGUGAAAUUCUUGGAUUUAUGAAAGACGAACUACUGCGAAAGCAUUUGCCAAGGAUGCUUUCAUUAA
This 377-nucleotide ribosomal RNA is filed under the name uncultured eukaryote. RNAcentral describes it as "partial 18S ribosomal RNA". It matches the Rfam family "Eukaryotic small subunit ribosomal RNA", at positions 592 to 976 of the family's 1831-position model. The record is from RNAcentral.